RNAcentral lists this ribosomal RNA (253 nucleotides) under uncultured bacterium. RNAcentral's name for it is "partial 16S ribosomal RNA". It matches the Rfam family "Bacterial small subunit ribosomal RNA", at positions 524 to 776 of the family's 1533-position model. The record is from RNAcentral.
UACGGAGGGGGCUAGCGUUGUUCGGAAUUACUGGGCGUAAAGCGCGCGUAGGCGGCUUUGUAAGUUAGAGGUGAAAGCCCGGAGCUUAACUCCGGAACUGCCUUUAAGACUGCAUCGCUAGAAUUGUGGAGAGGUAAGUGGAAUUCCGAGUGUAGAGGUGAAAUUCGUAGAUAUUCGGAAGAACACCAGUGGCGAAGGCGACUUACUGGACACAUAUUGACGCUGAGGUGCGAAGGCGUGGGGAGCAAACAGG